Molecule: ribosomal RNA, 511 nt
Filed under: uncultured bacterium
Lineage: Bacteria
Description: bacterial SSU rRNA
Rfam family: Bacterial small subunit ribosomal RNA
Source: RNAcentral
GGGAAAUGACAGAUUUAGAAAUAGAUCCUUCUUCGGACAUUUUUCAAGGUGCUGCAUGGUUGUCGUCAGCUCGUGCCGUGAGGUGUUAGGUUAAGUCCUGCAACGAGCGCAACCCCUGUCACUAGUUGCUACCAUUCAGUUGAGGACUCUAGUGAGACUGCCUACGCAAGUAGAGAGGAAGGUGGGGAUGACGUCAAAUCAUCACGGCCCUUACGUCUUGGGCCACACACGUAAUACAAUGGCCGGUACAGAGGGCAGCUACACAGUGAUGUGAUGCGAAUCUCGAAAGCCGGUCUCAGUUCGGAUUGGAGUCUGCAACUCGACUCUAUGAAGCUGGAAUCGCUAGUAAUCGCGCAUCAGCCAUGGCGCGGUGAAUACGUUCCCGGGCCUUGUACACACCGCCCGUCAAGCCAUGGAAGUUUGGGGUACCUGAAGUCGGUGACCGUAAAAGGAGCUGCCUAGGGUAAAACAAGUAACUAGGGCUAAGUCGUAACAAGGUAGGCGUAGUGCU